GGCAUUAGCUUGUUGUGGGGUAACGGCCUACCAAGGCGAUGAUGCAUAGCCGAGUUGAGAGACUGAUCGGCCNCAAUGGGACUGAGACACGGCCCAUAUUCCUACGGGAGGCAGCAGUAGGGAAUCUUCCACAAUGGGCGCAAGCCUGAUGGAGCAACACCGCGUGAGUGAAGAAGGGUUUCGGCUCGUAAAGCUCUGUUGUUAAAGAAGAACACGUAUGAGAGUAACUGUUCAUACGUUGACGGUAUUUAACCAGAAAGUCACGGCUAACUACGUGCCAGCAGCCGCGGUAAUACGUAGGUGGCAAGCGUUAUCCGGAUUUAUUGGGCGUAAAGAGAGUGCAGGCGGUUUUCUAAGUCUGAUGUGAAAGCCUUCGGCUUAACCGGAGAAGUGCAUCGGAAACUGGAUAACUUGAGUGCAGAAGAGGGUAGUGGAACUCCAUGUGUAGCGGUGGAAUGCGUAGAUAUAUGGAAGAACACCAGUGGCGAAGGCGGCUACCUGGUCUGCAACUGACGCUGAGACUCGAAAGCAUGGGUAGCGAACAGGAUUAGAUACCCUGGUAGUCCAUGCCGUAAACGAUGAGUGCUAGGUGUUGGAGGGUUUCCGCCCUUCAGUGCCGGAGCUAACGCAUUAAGCACUCCGCCUGGGGAGUACGACCGCAAGGUUGAAACUCAAAGGAAUUGACGGGGGCCCGCACAAGCGGUGGAGCAUGUGGUUUAAUUCGAAGCUACGCGAAGAACCUUACCAGGUCUUGACAUCUUGCGCCAACCCUAGAGAUAGGGCGUUUCCUUCGGGAACGCAAUGACAGGUGGUGCAUGGUCGUCGUCAGCUCGUGUCGUGAGAUGUUGGGUUAAGUCCCGCAACGAGCGCAACCCUUGUUACUAGUUGCCAGCAUUAAGUUGGGCACUCUAGUGAGACUGCCGGUGACAAACCGGAGGAAGGUGGGGACGACGUCAGAUCAUCAUGCCCCUUAUGACCUGGGCUACACACGUGCUACAAUGGACGGUACAACGAGUCGCGAACUCGCGAGGGCAAGCAAAUCUCUUAAAACCGUUCUCAGUUCGGACUGCAGGCUGCAACUCGCCUGCACGAAGUCGGAAUCGCUAGUAAUCGCGGAUCAGCAUGCCGCGGUGAAUACGUUCCCGGGCCUUGUACACACCGCCCGUCACACCAUGAGAGUUUGUAACACCCAAAGUCGGUGGGGUAACCUUUUAGGAGCCAGCCGCCUAA
Molecule: ribosomal RNA, 1230 nt
Filed under: Limosilactobacillus fermentum
Lineage: Bacteria; Bacillati; Bacillota; Bacilli; Lactobacillales; Lactobacillaceae
Description: bacterial SSU rRNA
Rfam family: Bacterial small subunit ribosomal RNA
Source: RNAcentral